Phyllopteryx taeniolatus (common seadragon) is the source of this 807-nucleotide long non-coding RNA. RefSeq lists it as uncharacterized. The record is from RefSeq and is a predicted model, not a curated record. The transcript is spliced from 3 exons. NCBI's taxonomy places the organism in Eukaryota, Metazoa, Chordata, Actinopteri, Syngnathiformes, Syngnathidae.
UUGUAUGUCAAAUUUUGGCUUGCAACACAAGGCAACUUAUUUAUUUAUUUUUUUUAUUUUUUAUUUUUUUUUAAAGUGACGCCAGCUGGGAACUUGACAAACUCGUAUGGUGGAGCAAUCGUAACACAAGGGAGUGGAGAGGUCCGGAGGCCAGCAGAUGCCCGGUGUCAGGUUGCAUAAACAAGAUGGAAGCCUUUCAUCAUCCGUCAUGUUGAUGAGCGGACCUCGAUGUUACCUCAGCGCAGAUGAGUCACGGCUGCGCUCCAUCUGUGUCUCUACAACCGAGCAAGCGUAGGAUUUCACCGUUGGACAGGAGAUUUCUGUGUGCUGCGCAACCCACCACCACCAGUAUGCUAUGAUGCGGAGUGCAGAGGCCGGCUCGUGAAGCAAAUAUCAGGAAGGUCAAGCUCCAAUGAUUAUUCAAUUUGGAUUCAAGGAUUAUGUGUUUAAUAAAAUCUAGAAAAAGACAAUGGCAACAUGCAAGGUUUGCAACUCAAAGAUAUCAGAAACAACUGACUUCUAACCUCAUCCAACGCUAUAAAACCCACAAAGAAAGCUAAACUACGUUAACUGCACAAUUUAGCUGGUCAAACAUUAACGAAGCUUGAGGAGACAGUCAAGGAAUAUGGUGACUGGCUUUGGAACCAUUAAAAAGUGAUGUGACUGUGAAUGUGCUAGCAGAGCUAACUGAUAAGUGCAGACACCGAUUGCAAAGUGGCUAAUAUGCAAAUAUAUGUUGUGACCUACCAAGCUUGUAUGACUCGUUAUAAUUUGCUUAACCCAAAUAAAGACUUGACUUGGAUAGGA